UGAAUGCUGUGCAUUUGCAGCGGAAAUCCUUCUUGCGUAAUGAAAUGGAGCGAAAAGAUUCCAGUAUAAAGCGGGAUACAGC
This 82-nucleotide small RNA is filed under the name Flavobacterium noncentrifugens. RNAcentral describes it as "Flavo-1 RNA". The record is from RNAcentral. Lineage: Bacteria; Pseudomonadati; Bacteroidota; Flavobacteriia; Flavobacteriales; Flavobacteriaceae.